AAUAUUGGACAAUGGGGGACACCCUGAUCCAGCGAUGCCGCGUGGGUGAAGAAGGCCUUCGGGUUGUAAAGCCCUUUAGGUUAGGAAGAAGUUAUUUUGUUUAAGAGAUGAAGUAAUUGACGGUACUAACAGAAUAAGCACCGGCAAACUCUGUGCCAGCAGCCGCGGUAAUACAGAGGGUGCGAGCGUUAAUCGGAAUUACUGGGCGUAAAGGGCGCGUAGGCGGUAUUAAGAGUGUGAUGUGAAAGCCCCGGGCUUAACCUGGGAAGUGCAUCGCAAACGAUAUUGCUGGAGUACAGGAGAGGGUGGCGGAAUUUCCGGUGUAGCGGUGAAAUGCGUAGAGAUCGGAAGGAACGUCGAUGGCGAAGGCAGCCACCUGGCCUGAUACUGACGCUGAGGCGCGAAAGCGUGGGUAGCGAAC
RNAcentral lists this ribosomal RNA (421 nucleotides) under uncultured bacterium. RNAcentral's name for it is "bacterial SSU rRNA". It matches the Rfam family "Bacterial small subunit ribosomal RNA", at positions 360 to 773 of the family's 1533-position model. The record is from RNAcentral.